GGAAUGAACGCUGGCGGCAUGCCUAACACAUGCAAGUCGAACGGUGCCUUCGGGCAUAGUGGCGCACGGGUGCGUAACGCGUGGGAAUCUACCCUUGGGUUCGGAAUAACUCAGAGAAAUUUGAGCUAAUACCGGAUGAUGACGAAAGUCCAAAGAUUUAUCGCCCAGGGAUGAGCCCGCGUAGGAUUAGCUUGUUGGUGAGGUAAAAGCUCACCAAGGCGACGAUCCUUAGCUGGUCUGAGAGGAUGAUCAGCCACACUGGGACUGAGACACGGCCCAGACUCCUACGGGAGGCAGCAGUGGGGAAUAUGGACAAUGGGCGAAAGCCUGAUCCAGCAAUGCCGCGUGAGUGAUGAAGGCCGUUAGGUUGUAAAGCUUCGUUUUACCCGGGAAGAUAAGUGACUGUACCGGAGAAGUAACGCCCCGACUAACUCCGUGCCAGCAGCCGAC
This 450-nucleotide ribosomal RNA is filed under the name uncultured soil bacterium. Its description in RNAcentral is "bacterial SSU rRNA". It matches the Rfam family "Bacterial small subunit ribosomal RNA", at positions 27 to 518 of the family's 1533-position model. The record is from RNAcentral.